Molecule: unclassified non-coding RNA, 279 nt
Filed under: plant metagenome
Description: partial contains small subunit ribosomal RNA, internal transcribed spacer 1, and 5.8S ribosomal RNA
Source: RNAcentral
UCUCCGUAGGUGAACCUGCGGAAGGAUCAAUAUUACAUAACCGAGAUGCGAGGGCUGUAGCUUACUCUAAAGGUCGAGCAUGACCGAGUUCACUCACACUCAACCAUCUCCCUCCAAUCGACACCACAGCGACGACUCCCCUCAGGCUUUUUCGGAGGUGUCCCUUCGAUUUCGAACAAACCUGGUAGGCAGUGCAGACUGCAUUUUUCCUUUUUCCUAUCACCCUAUCAAAACAACUUUUCACAACUGAUCACUUGGCUCCCGCAUCCAUGAAGAACC